RNAcentral lists this ribosomal RNA (301 nucleotides) under uncultured bacterium. RNAcentral describes it as "partial 16S ribosomal RNA". It matches the Rfam family "Bacterial small subunit ribosomal RNA", at positions 509 to 807 of the family's 1533-position model. The record is from RNAcentral.
CAGUCGCCGCGGUAAUACGAAGGGGGCUAGCGUUGUUCGGAAUUACUGGGCGUAAAGCGCACGUAGGCGGACAUUUAAGUCAGGGGUGAAAUCCCGGGGCUCAACCCCGGAACUGCCUUUGAUACUGGGUGUCUAGAGUAUGGAAGAGGUGAGUGGAAUUCCGAGUGUAGAGGUGAAAUUCGUAGAUAUUCGGAGGAACACCAGUGGCGAAGGCGGCUCACUGGUCCAUUACUGACGCUGAGGUGCGAAAGCGUGGGGAGCAAACAGGAUUAGAGACCCCCGUAGUCCCUGUCUCUUAUAC